RNAcentral lists this long non-coding RNA (1057 nucleotides) under Capsicum annuum. Its description in RNAcentral is "long non-coding RNA (CANN_LNC008832)". Lineage: Eukaryota; Viridiplantae; Streptophyta; Magnoliopsida; Solanales; Solanaceae. The record is from RNAcentral.
CUUCCUUUAUAAUGUUUUUAAGUCACAUGGCAUGCUUGUCGCUUUAAUUAAUAACAGAAAUCUAAUAUUCAUUAAUAGUUUUUUGACAAGAAUUGUCCACUUUAUUUGAAGUUCAACUAUAAAGAUUUAUUGUUUACCAUUUUCAAAUACAUGGCCAAAUAAAGAUUUUUUUUAGAAACAACAAUAUACUCAUUAUAUUCUCAUCAAGUGGGGUCUAGGUUAAGUAUAUACAGUCAAUAUCACUACCUCAGUGGUGAGGUAGAAAUGAUAUUUUUGAUAGACUUUCGACUCAAGAUAAAAUAAGCUAGACAAGAAAUAGUAAAAGAAUACGAUACACUAUUUCAUUGACUUCCUCGUCAAACUCCAAAUUUUGUUCAAACCUUUGAGACUGCAAUAUUUGAAUUCUAGCCCUGACUGCUUUACCCAUAUGGGGAUUAUAUACAAUUCCUCUCUCGUGAAUUCCAUAGUAGGAUGUCAGGGUUUCACUAUUAGGGGUUUAUUGUCAAAGUGGUAUAUUCCACCAUGGACCUUGUACUUUCCCAGUCUAGUAACAAACUGUACUAGUACGAUUCCAUUUUUCAGCAUUGAAAUUUUGUUAAUGUCAUGCAUCCCCAUUACUGAGAAUGAGGGGUGAGCCCCUAAUACAUAACAUACCACUGCAUGCAUCCAGUACUCAAUUGCGUGCUUAUCAUCUCUUCAACUUCAAUCUCACGGAUCUCUGAUUUCUUUUGGUUUGCAGGAGAUAAAAAUUCAAGUUUAAAUCCCGCCUUGACAAUUUUUGUUAGGUCAAAAUCCUCCCAAAUUGACCCCUUCUUCAUCGAUUUCUGAACGGCCUUGGGACGACUUCGUGGAACCCAGUGCCUCCUCCCAUUCCUGAAACUUCGUAGCUCCCGUAGUUGCUUCCUCAUUCAGCUUCCCCAGCUAUUCAUGAUGGGCAAUUUCCUCAACUACAGUUGUGUUAUGAGAUACCAUUUCAACAAUUUCUUUUGCCCCACCUUUGUCGGUUACCGAACUAGAGCUUUCACGUUCCUUACAAAACAUCUAUUUAAGUUAUCCG